This 814-nucleotide ribosomal RNA is filed under the name Salmonella enterica subsp. enterica serovar Eastbourne. RNAcentral's name for it is "partial 23S ribosomal RNA". It matches the Rfam family "Bacterial large subunit ribosomal RNA", at positions 711 to 1526 of the family's 2925-position model. Lineage: Bacteria; Pseudomonadati; Pseudomonadota; Gammaproteobacteria; Enterobacterales; Enterobacteriaceae. The record is from RNAcentral.
AGACCCGAAACCCGGUGAUCUAGCCAUGGGCAGGUUGAAGGUUGGGUAACACUAACUGGAGGACCGAACCGACUAAUGUUGAAAAAUUAGCGGAUGACCUGUGGCUGGGGGUGAAAGGCCAAUCAAACCGGGAGAUAGCUGGUUCUCCCCGAAAGCUAUUUAGGUAGCGCCUCGUGAAUUCAUCUCCGGGGGUAGAGCACUGUUUCGGCUAGGGGGCCAUCCCGGCUUACCAACCCGAUGCAAACUGCGAAUACCGGAGAAUGUUAUCACGGGAGACACACGGCGGGUGCUAACGUCCGUCGUGAAGAGGGAAACAACCCAGACCGCCAGCUAAGGUCCCAAAGUCAUGGUUAAGUGGGAAACGAUGUGGGAAGGCCCAGACAGCCAGGAUGUUGGCUUAGAAGCAGCCAUCAUUUAAAGAAAGCGUAAUAGCUCACUGGUCGAGUCGGCCUGCGCGGAAGAUGUAACGGGGCUAAACCAUGCACCGAAGCUGCGGCAGCGACACUCAGGUGUCGUUGGGUAGGGGAGCGUUCUGUAAGCCUGCGAAGGUGGCCUGUGAGGGUUGCUGGAGGUAUCAGAAGUGCGAAUGCUGACAUAAGUAACGAUAAAGCGGGUGAAAAGCCCGCUCGCCGGAAGACCAAGGGUUCCUGUCCAACGUUAAUCGGGGCAGGGUGAGUCGACCCCUAAGGCGAGGCCGAAAGGCGUAGUCGAUGGGAAACGGGUUAAUAUUCCCGUACUUGGUGUUACUGCGAAGGGGGGACGGAGAAGGCUAUGUUGGCCGGGCGACGGUUGUCCCGGUUUAAGCGUGUAGGUG